ACAGCAGCAGCCGCGGUAAUACGAAGGGUGCAAGCGUUAAUCGGAAUUACUGGGCGUAAAGCGUGCGUAGGCGGUGAGUUAAGUCUGCUGUGAAAUCCCCGGGCUCAACCUGGGAAUGGCAGUGGAUACUGGCUCGCUAGAGUGUGUCAGAGGAUGGUGGAAUUCCCGGUGUAGCGGUGAAAUGCGUAGAGAUCGGGAGGAACAUCAGUGGCGAAGGCGGCCAUCUGGGACAACACUGACGCUGAGGCACGAAAGCGUGGGGAGCAAACAGGAUUAGAUACCCCUGUAGUCCCUGUCUCUUAUAA
This 305-nucleotide ribosomal RNA is filed under the name uncultured bacterium. RNAcentral describes it as "partial 16S ribosomal RNA". It matches the Rfam family "Bacterial small subunit ribosomal RNA", at positions 505 to 809 of the family's 1533-position model. The record is from RNAcentral.